Molecule: ribosomal RNA, 1074 nt
Filed under: Triticum aestivum (bread wheat)
Lineage: Eukaryota; Viridiplantae; Streptophyta; Magnoliopsida; Poales; Poaceae
Description: partial small subunit ribosomal RNA
Source: RNAcentral
AUGACGUAUCUCUUCACGGUGCCCGAGUACUCCAAGUGGGCGCGGACGCCGGCCCGCACGGCGCUCAACUUCGACCCCUUCUUCGUCUGCGGGCAACUCCACCACCUCAAUGUCUACCCUGCGGGCUUCGACGAGGAAUCGGCGGAGUUUGUGGCCGUCUUCCUCGUCCCCCGCCACGACCCCUUCGACCACAUCUACAACACCAAGGAGGGCCUCUGCAGGCUCAGGAUCUCCAUCGAGAUCCUGGACGAGAGCGGCGAGCGCAGCGUCUUCGACAACCACACGGCGCGGUCGGGGCAGACGGUCUGGGGCAACGGAAGGGGCUACGUCCGGUUCGUGAAGAGGAGCGAGCUGGAGUGGUCGUCGUGCAUCCGUCGUCGCGACGAUAGCUUCACCAUCCGGUGCACAGUGUUCAUCGACGUGGAGGUGGUAGUGAGAAAAUUGCCGGCGAAGGUCUUCUUGGCAGAACAAAUUGUUCAAGCCUCGAAGCCAGUGGCGGGGACAAUCGGCACGUCCUACACGAUGACGAUCGGCUUCUUCUCGAAUGUCAGGGCAGCGCUCCGUACUGGGGAGUGCGUGCACUCUAGGCAGUUCAGCUUCGGCGGCGGCAGCUGGUACCUCAAGGUGUACCCCAACGGCUACUGCGAAGCCAGCAGGGACUGGGUGUCUGUCAUCCUCGGUCGCGGGAGGUCCGGCGAGACAGAGACGACGGCCGAAUUCCGCUUCGAGGUCAUCGGCGUCGUGGGGGCCGGCGAAGGGGAGUGGUUGAGGCACAUGUUCGACCACGACAACCCUGCCCAUGGGUCCCGGUGCUUGGUGAAGAGCAGCGACCUCACGCAAGCUGAACAUAUGGCCACCGACAACGACCGCCUCGUCAUCCGCUGCCACCUCCGACUGAUCAAGAAGACCACCACAAGGUUGCCACCUACCACAGAGCCGCCGACCGCCAUCGCCGUCCCACCUUCCGACGGGUUGAAACACCAUCACAAGGUGCCCGCCAGACUCGAAAUCGUGGGAAAAAGGAUGGAUGAAGAGACGAGGGAUGCAGCUCCACUGGUGAGCCUCAGGUACUAG